GUAAUUGUAACUUCGUGUUGGAAAGAGGAUCCAAACACUCGUCCCAACUUCACUCAGAUAAUACAGAUGCUUCUUCAUUUUCUCUCUUCAGUUUCCCCUCCGGAACCAGUAAUACCAGCUAGGAUUUUCACUUCAGAGAAUCAUGUAUUACCACCGGAGUCUCCAGGUACCAGCUCGUUAAUGUCCAAGCGUGAUGACUCGGUUGAGACCCCUAAAACACCCAUGGAGAAUCAGCCAAGAGGUUUCUUCUUCUGUUUUAACCAAUGCUACUGAUCCCCAAGGGAAAAGUUUGUUAAUUCUCUAGAAAAUACUCGGAGUUGAGCUAUCUUAUUAUACAAUAGUAAGCUCACAAAAUGUUUAGCCCAGAUAUGUCACUAGAUAACUUAGCUUUUGGUCUUUCUUCCACAUAAGAUAAAAAGGUACACUUUUGAGUUUUAGCCAUGGUAAUUCAAAGGUGAAGGACGUUGUUGCAGGAAGAUGCAUGAUCUAGACUCGCGUUCU
RNAcentral lists this unclassified non-coding RNA (501 nucleotides) under Hevea brasiliensis (rubber tree). The record is from RNAcentral. Lineage: Eukaryota; Viridiplantae; Streptophyta; Magnoliopsida; Malpighiales; Euphorbiaceae.